This 65-nucleotide transfer RNA is filed under the name Chrysosplenium alternifolium. RNAcentral's name for it is "partial transfer RNA-Leu". RNAcentral also lists the same sequence under 5 other names. The record is from RNAcentral. Lineage: Eukaryota; Viridiplantae; Streptophyta; Magnoliopsida; Saxifragales; Saxifragaceae.
UAGACGCUACGGACUUAAAUCCGUCGACUUUAGAAAUCGUGAGGGUUCAAGUCCCUCUAUCCCCA